Long non-coding RNA from Oncorhynchus tshawytscha (Chinook salmon), 1060 nucleotides. NCBI's taxonomy places the organism in Eukaryota, Metazoa, Chordata, Actinopteri, Salmoniformes, Salmonidae. The record is from Ensembl.
CAGGCUGAUGUGUGUCCAGAUGGACAUUGGUUCUGUUCAGGCUGAUGUGUGUCCAGAUGGACAUUGGUUCUGUUCAGGCUGAUGUGUGUCCAGAUGGACAUUGGUUCUGUUCAGGCUGAUGUGUGUCCAGAUAGACAUUGGUUCUGUUCAGGCUGAUGUGUGUCCAGAUGGACAUUGGUCCUGUUCAGGCGGAUGUGUGUCCAGAUAGACAUUGGUCCUGUUCAGGCGGAUGUGUGUCCAGAUAGACAUUGGUUCUGUUCAGGCUGAUUGCUGAUGUGUGUCCAGACAGACAUUGGUUCUGUUCAGGCUGAGUGCUGAUGUGUGUCCAGACAGACAUUGGUUCUGUUCAGGCUGAUUGCUGAUGUGUGUCCAGAUGGACAUUAUUUACAUGUCAGUUUAUUUCAAUGAUGAUUCCCAUCAAGAGAUACGAUCUCUUGAUUUGACCGAGUGUCUCUACAAGGGGUGGUGUGUCUCUACAAGGGGUGGUGUGUAUGAAGACAUGUAACGUAUACGAAAUAGGUUUUAAGUGAAGAAAGUGAUUUACAAGGAAUGAAUUAUGAUCUGCAUCCUAAAUGGCACCAUAUUCCCUACGUAGUGCACUUCUUUUGAACAGGACCCAUAGGGCUCUGGUCAAAAGUAGUGCACUAUAUAGGGAAUAGGUAUUGGUACGCAGCCAUGAUGAAAGGUAGGAAUCUAAACUGUUGUUUUGCUCAUAUGAUGUACGAAGGAAGAAACUAGAAGUUGAGUGACACAGUGUCCAUUUUUAUUUUCCUUAUAAACACCUAGAACUGAGGAAACAGACCAGCUCACUAAAAGUUGUUCUUCUCUUCAACAUAAAUAUGCAGACUUCCUUUGAAAACGGAAUCACAACGCAAACAAGUGUGCGUCGGAAAUGUCACCCUAUUCCCUACGUAGUGCACUACUUUUGACCAGGGCUCUGGUGCACUAGGGAUCAGGAUGGCAUUUCAGACAGGUUCAGAGUCAUUUUGUAAAUACAUUUUUUUCAGACUCAAGUGACUGCAAAUUGUGUCUUUUCUCUCGCAACCACAAAACAUGAGGG